CCCGCGGCGGCGCCGCCCUCACGGCGCGUUCUUUGGCCAGUCACAGUCCCCGGGAGCCAAUCGCAGCCAGCGUUGGGGCGGGGGGCGGGGGGGAGAGCGUGGGUGCGCGUGCCCAGAACCGACCUGUACAACCGCCAACCGCCGUUGCUCCUGGGCCUCUUCCGGGAUAACGGGGUGGGCGGAGGCCGAGCCCUGUCACCGCUGCCUGGCCCUGGCCUGAUAACAGUGUCAGUCGGGGGCUGAGGGGCGAGUACAAAGAUCAAUUGUCCGUGGCCACUGGUGGCAGGACGAGAAGUAACGGGCUUAAUCUGCGGCCAGGGAGGUUUGGGUUAGACCUAAGCUGAAACUUGUCUUAACUUUCAGGGAAGUUGAACUGUGCAACAGGCGUCCGAGGGAGGCCCUGGCGUCCCUGCCAUUGGAGGUUUUUAAGACCGGGUUGGACAAGCACCUGUCGGGGGUGGCCUAGGGUAACUCAGUCCUGCCUCAGCGUUAAGGGGCUGGUCUUGAGGAUGUCUCAAGGGCCCCUAAAGCCCUGCAUCUCUGUGAUCCAAAAGGGAUGUGGAGAGGCUGCGUAGGACUCGUGUGAACUCUGUGUCACAGAACCGGGUUGGUGCAUGAGAUCAGCGUGCCCAGUAGAGAUUUAUGUCUGUGACAUUUGUUUUCCACUAUGGCCAUCUUCAGUUAAUAUUCUUCUGAGAUUAGAGUGUAUACACAAUAGGCUUAAUCCUCAGACCAAGCCUGUGAUUGACUACCUACCUGGAGCCAUUAUGAUGUGUUUAUCAUGAGUCCAAGCUACUUCAGCAACUGUAUAAGUCUGUUUCCUUCAGCUCUCUCUCUGUACAGCAUCCUGACCAGCAAAAUUAUCCAGGAAGAAAUAGGAGUCGAGUUCCUUCUUCCUUAAAGCCAGUAUUAAUACAUGAUCUGGGCUCAUGCUGACAUAUUUCAUACAUGGGAGGGAGAUGAGGUGACACCUGUUUGGAUAUAGCUGCCUGUAAAAGGCCUGUUUAACGAAGAGGCCACUCCUUUCAGGUUAUGAAAGGCUAAGGCUUGCCAAACAUUGAGGGAAUGGAGCUUCCAUUCUUCUGAGGAUGUGUGACGUUUUGGGAAGAAUACAGAUAAAGAAGCUAAAGCUUCGGAUACUGGAGGUUCCAAUCUGGACCAAGCGGCAGUGACAAGGAACUGGAGAGGCAGUUGGUCAGCCCCACCCUUUAUUUCCUAAGUGGGAGGCACAAGGUGACCCAGGAUGCAUGUGUGGACCAACAGACGCUGCUUUCACAAUUCUCUGGCUCUGGAUGCAUGGAGUGAAUGCAUACCCACAGUGGAAUACAGACAGGGAACAGCACUUGAAGAAGCCGCCUGAGUUACACACAAUGCCUAUACGGUGCUCCAGGCAGAGAGGCAUUGUGAGAUCAGAGGUAACUCAGCCAGUCAUUAUUCGCUCUGUCCAUUGCAUUUUCAUACUUCAAUCCAGGGCUUAAAUUCAGCCGGAGCCAUCCAGAGUGGAGCUCCAGUAAAUAUUUUAAAACCUGCAGAAGCCCCGGUGUGCCCUGUGGGGCAGAGCCGCGCACCCCACAGGGCAAAGCCCCAUGCCCCAGUGCCUCUCACGGGGCUGAAGUUCAAGGCUCCAGGAAAUACUGGGGGGGAAUUUAAGCCCUGCUUCAAUCCCAUUGGUGAAAUGAAUCAGCAAAUGGAACUGCUGGUUAGGACUGAGGUGCUUUGCUAGACUGCUGGGGUCGUGAAGGUUUAGGACCGGAAGAGUUGAGGUUCCUUCACAUCAGGAGCUAUAUUGGCUGAGUAGGAGUGAGUUUCGAGAGUUGCAUUGUGGCUCCGUCCACACUGUGUCUAGCUCAGGCAAGAUCAUUUACCUUUGCCCAGUCACAGGUGUUUUAGUUCAUCUAAAUGGUAUCCAUUUGAUAUUGCAGGCAGAGAGAUUUGUUAAGGAGAGAAAUGACCAAGAAGGCAGCAGAAUUAGAGCAGGGGGACAGCACACCAGGCACUUGUGGGGAGAAUGGAGGAAUGCAUUGAGCCCCUCAUCUGUUCAAUGUGCUUGGCCUACAGAAACAAUGAACUCCAUCGUCCAUGUAGUUAGUCAUGUUUGUGGUUUUGUUUGAGUUAUACACACUAAACUCUUUCCCAUAUCUUCCCUCCACCAUUCAACCCGCUCUGCCUACUAGCAAUCCCUAGCUUUAGAUCUAGUGUCCGUAAACCCCUCUCUGCCAGCAUUCAACCUCCUCCCGUCAUACAAAUAUGCAGUUCACACAUAAGAUAAAUAAGUGAAAUAAGUAGCUUCCUGUGGAGUUCACGGAAACAAUGGGGCUUCAGGAGAGAUUUAAAUGAGGGGAGGGGAGUGACUUUUCAGACCAGCCCAGGAACGGCAUUCCAUGCACAGGACAGUGUUGAAGAAAGCUGAGAAACGAUUAUGGGAGGAGCAGGCAAUAAAGGUGUGACGUAUUCCAUAUUUUUAUGAAAAUAUUAUGAUAUGAAUAUGACAUAACAGAUAUACUUUAUGCAAGAUGGCUCGUGAGAUAUAAUUGGAAAGGUUAUGAUUUACUGAAUGUGAUUAUCCUGUUUAUAUGCAUGUAUCAUUUCUGUAUCUGAAAUUAGGAAUAUUGACUAUGUAUUUGUAUUUCAACUAUGCUACUUUGGGUGACGCCCACUGCCAACACUCCAGGUACAACAAUGGACAAGCCAGACAGGGCAGAUGGCCCAUCAACAAGGACAAUGGACUGUAAAAAAGCUUAGUCUUCCUAUGAACCUGUGAGUCAGUCUGUGAAGAAUGGCUAUAAGGGCCCCACAGAAUCAGGUGGUCUUGUCACCUGAUACUAAAACAUUACCUCGGACUUCUUGUAACUUUCCACUGUAAAGGAAGUGGGGAGUCAAACUAGGAAACAAAGGACUCCCGCCUUAUGCAAAUCCUAUUUAAGGGUGGGGAGUGAGGUAAUCUGGGUCCUCAGUUCUCCCCUGCUAUCCCACCCAAGAUGACUGCUGGGAACAACUAAGACUGAACUGGGGGAAAGAACUGAACCCAGGCUGGAAGGGCAUCUGGCCUGUGAAGGAGAUUAUUAGAACCACAUUUAGGGUGGACCUUACAUGUAACCAGUUUCUUUAGUGUAUUAAACUUAGUUUGUGUGCUCUGUUUUAUUUUCUUAGUAAUCUGCCUUGUUCUGUCUGCUACCUCCUUAACUACUUAAAAUA
Mauremys mutica (yellowpond turtle) is the source of this 3195-nucleotide long non-coding RNA. RefSeq lists it as uncharacterized. The record is from RefSeq and is a predicted model, not a curated record. The transcript has 4 exons. Lineage: Eukaryota; Metazoa; Chordata; Testudines; Geoemydidae.